UACGUAGGGUGCAAGCGUUGUCCGGAAUUAUUGGGCGUAAAGAGCUCGUAGGCGGCUUGUCGCGUCUGCUGUGAAAACCAGAGGCUCAACCUCUGGCCUGCAGUGGGUACGGGCAAGCUAGAGUGCGGUAGGGGAGAUUGGAAUUCCUGGUGUAGCGGUGGAAUGCGCAGAUAUCAGGAGGAACACCGAUGGCGAAGGCAGAUCUCUGGGCCGAUACUGACGUGAGGAGCGAAAGCGUGGGGAACGAACAGG
RNAcentral lists this ribosomal RNA (252 nucleotides) under uncultured bacterium. RNAcentral's name for it is "partial 16S ribosomal RNA". It matches the Rfam family "Bacterial small subunit ribosomal RNA", at positions 524 to 776 of the family's 1533-position model. The record is from RNAcentral.